UCGGCCUGUCGCUGAGCCAGGCGCGGAACGAGAUCGAUCAGCGGCUAAGCAUGUAGACGCCGGCGGGGGACCGGCUUCGGACGCGGGUUCGAUUCCCGCCGCCUCCACCA
Molecule: transfer-messenger RNA, 110 nt
Filed under: bacterium
Lineage: Bacteria
Description: partial transfer-messenger RNA
Rfam family: transfer-messenger RNA
About the family: Bacterial tmRNA, also known as 10Sa RNA or SsrA, is named for its dual tRNA and mRNA-like properties. Its role is to liberate the mRNA from a stalled ribosome.
Source: RNAcentral